RNAcentral lists this ribosomal RNA (468 nucleotides) under uncultured bacterium. RNAcentral describes it as "partial 16S ribosomal RNA". It matches the Rfam family "Bacterial small subunit ribosomal RNA", at positions 28 to 507 of the family's 1533-position model. The record is from RNAcentral.
GACGAACGCUGGCGGCGUGCUUAACACAUGCAAGUCGAACGGAAAGGCCCUGCUUUUGUGGGGUGCUCGAGUGGCGAACGGGGGAGUAACACGUGAGUAACCUGCCCUUGACUUUGGGAUAACUUCAGGAAACUGGGGCUAAUACCGGAUAGGAGCUCCUGCAGCAUGGAGGGGGUUGGAAAGUUUCGGCGGUUGGGGAUGGACUCGCGGCUUAUCAGCUUGUUGGUGGGGUAGUGGCUUACCAAGGCUGUGACGGGUAGCCGGCCUGAGAGGGUGACCAGCCACAAUAGGACUGCGGUACGGCGCAGUCUCCUACGGGAGGCAGCGGUGGGGAGUAUUGCCCAAUGGGCGGAAGCCUGUGGCGAAGGCGCCGCGUGCGGGAUGACGGCCUUCGGGUUGUAAACCGCUUUCGCCUGUGACGAAGCGUUAGUGACGGUACUGGGUAAAGAAGCACCGGCUAACUACGUG